CCUACGGGUGGCUGCAGUCGAGAAUCAUUCACAAUGGGGGAAACCCUGAUGGUGCGACGCCGCGUGGGGGAAUGAAGGUCUUCGGAUUGUAAACCCCUGUCAUGUGGGAGCAAAUUAAAAAGAUAGUACCACAAGAGGAAGAGACGGCUAACUCUGUGCCAGCAGCCGCGGUAAUACAGAGGUCUCAAGCGUUGUUCGGAAUCACUGGGCGUAAAGCGUGCGUAGGCUGUUUCGUAAGUCGUGUGUGAAAGGCGCGGGCUCAACCCGCGGACGGCACCUGAUACUGCGAGACUAGAGUAAGGGAGGGGGAACCGGAAUUCUCGGUGUAGCAGUGAAAUGCGUAGAUAUCGAGAGGAACACUCGUGGCGAAGGCGGGUUCCUGGACAUUAACUGACGCUGAGGCACGAAGGCCAGGGGAGCGAAAGGGAUUAGAUACCCCGGUAGUC
RNAcentral lists this ribosomal RNA (446 nucleotides) under uncultured bacterium. RNAcentral's name for it is "partial 16S ribosomal RNA". It matches the Rfam family "Bacterial small subunit ribosomal RNA", at positions 338 to 795 of the family's 1533-position model. The record is from RNAcentral.